Loxodonta africana (African savanna elephant) is the source of this 64-nucleotide non-coding RNA. The record is from Rfam. Lineage: Eukaryota; Metazoa; Chordata; Mammalia; Proboscidea; Elephantidae.
GGUGGCACAGUGGCUAAGCACUUGGCUGCUAAUCAAAAGGUUGGUGGUUCGAACCCACCAACCA